RNAcentral lists this long non-coding RNA (690 nucleotides) under Sarcophilus harrisii (Tasmanian devil). Its description in RNAcentral is "lncRNA (ENSSHAG00000026427.1)". Lineage: Eukaryota; Metazoa; Chordata; Mammalia; Dasyuromorphia; Dasyuridae. The record is from RNAcentral.
UUAUGCUUCUGUUGUCUUAGCAUUCCCCCAACCUCUUCCCAAGUCUUUUCAAGACCCCCACCCCUUACUGGGUUGGGGAUUGGGAUGCCGAUAGGGCAAUGGUGGGAUUUUCAGAAUGCCCUCCAUCACCCUUCUAAAUAUCCUUUCUGAAGUCCAGACCCCUAUUUCUUCCCCCUCAGCAACCCCCCCCGCCCCCCGUCCCCCACCCCCCACCCCUUGCUGACGCACUGAGAGGCUGCAGAGUUUAUGGACAUUUCUUUCUGGGAAAAUAAAGCUGCCUGAUGGAGCUGACAAGCCACUGGUGGCUUUGGAGAGAAAGCACGCUCAUAAUAGGGAGGAGGAGAAGAAUCUUCCAAUCACCGGCCGCAAUUAGGGCUCCUCCACCACUCACCCCGCUUCCCCAUGAAUGAACAUUGACGUCAAUCGGGCGGAGAAGACCCCCCCAUGUGAUCUACUGGCUCCUCUUUAUAAAGAGGCGGGGCGGGCGCUGUCCAGCGUGCUGAAGCUUGGGGAAGCAAGCUAGCGGGAGAGACGGAGAAUCGACCACGCGAAGAGAGACCAGCUGGAAACUGACCGAGGCGACAGUCGAACGCAGCUCAGGGACCGAAACUCGGAGCAUCUCCUACCUCAAAAUCCCGACCCUUCCCAUUCCUCGAAUCCUAGCUGAGUGGAAAUCAUUCUUUCCCCAGU